Pseudoliparis swirei is the source of this 846-nucleotide long non-coding RNA. RefSeq lists it as uncharacterized. NCBI's taxonomy places the organism in Eukaryota, Metazoa, Chordata, Actinopteri, Perciformes, Liparidae. The record is from RefSeq and is a predicted model, not a curated record. The transcript is spliced from 4 exons.
GGUGUUUUGAGCCCUCACCGGCGCCUUCCAGGCAGCGGCUGCCUGGAAGGCGCCGGAAGGUGGUCCCGCCCCCCAAAACUCUGAUCCAAUCAAUGCGCUACCCCCACUUGGAGCGGAGCGCAUAUUCAAAUCCACUUUUUGGAGCGCAUUGCAUAUUCAAACCCGCGCAUUUGGAGCCAAACCCACUUGGAGCGCAUUUGGAGCGCAUUUAACCCACUUGGUUCAACAAUUUCAAAGUUCAUGAAGAAAUGGCGCCCAGGAAGGUAGGAUGGAAGCGGAAGGCCCUGCAGGUGUCAAAAGGUGGACCAUCUGCAAAGAUCGCAAUUUUCCACCAGUCACCACUGGUUGGUGGAGCCUCCGCCCCAGCCCCAACCCCAUCUAGCCCUGCUGCUCCAUCCACCCUUCCUGCCCCAUCCGGCCCUGCUGCUCCACCAAGCCCUACUGCCCCAUCCCAGCCGGCAUUUCAGAAUGUCCACAGCCUUUUGAGGACAUGCUCAGGGCAUCGGAGCAAAAGGUGAAGUGCACAGCUAGGCAUAGGUUUCUUCAAGACAGGUUUAUAUUUUUAGUGGUAGUGUGGUAGUAACAGUGCUGAGACCAUUUGUGAUGGGAUCUGGGAAAACCAGUCACAUGGUGAAAUUUGACCUUUUGGAAGCUGACUUCAAGCUUGUUUCAAAUAUGUUUUCAUUAUUUGUCUGUUUCAAAUGUUAUGAUUGUCCAAAGUCAGCUGAUCAGUUAGAUUUCAUGGAAUAGAAUUUUGACAAAAACAACUUUAAAGAGAGGGGUUCUAAAUAGACUGGCUGGUUGAAUAAAGCACAUUUUAACACAUUCAAUUAAUGAAAACAAGUA